Molecule: long non-coding RNA, 1303 nt
Filed under: Sus scrofa (pig)
Lineage: Eukaryota; Metazoa; Chordata; Mammalia; Artiodactyla; Suidae
Description: lncRNA (ENSSSCG00060043820.1)
Source: RNAcentral
GCCAGAGGUCAGAGGCGAGGCUCCCCAAAGCUUCUCUUUCCCUGUUCCCGGUCUCCUCGCACACCCCAACACUCCCACCCUCACCCCCCUGCUCCGCAGGCCCUGGAGAAGGGUCGUGGCUGCAGCACGCCCUGGGAAUCACUUUCAGUUCCCAGCUACACAGCCUUUGCUCGCCGCUCCGGCUCCAUCCCACCCUCCCUGCCAGACCCCUCGCUCACCCCACGGAUGUCCCAGUAACCCAGGAUCAGAGUCAUGGUGUUGGUUUCUGAGCCUUGACCCGACAAGCUUCGCCACAGCUGGGCUGGAAAUUUAUCCUCUGACCUGGUAGUGAAGGCGGGGCGGGAAGUGCACCGCCCUCUCCUCGGCCCCGCCCCCCAACCCAGCCCCAACGGGGCAGUGCCUUUGCCAACUGCAGCGCCAGGCCAGGUGGAGGGAGAUCUGCUUCCUUCUCCCAGCCAAGGGUUCUCUGGAGCCCAGCCUCGAGUCUUCCAGAAAACACUAUCCCAGAGAUGGGAAGAAUCAUCCAAUUCACGGGGCAGAAAAAGGAAGUGUGGUCUCAGUGCCUUUGUUCCGGGAUUGAGGAGGACCCCCGCUCUUCUGCCACGUGCCUAAGAGAGAGAAUGAUCAAGUAUAAAUUCACCGCAGAGUUCCUGCUGUGUCCCAGUGGGUAAAGAAUCAGGCACUUUUCUCUGCCGUGGGGUCUGAGGUGCCCUCCCUGACCCCUGGUGCAGUGGGUUAAGGAUCCCGGUUGCCACGGCUCUGGGGUAGGUCACAGCAGCAGCUGGGACUUCGAUCCCCGACCCAGGAACUUCCAUAUGCCCCAGGUGUGGCCAGAAAAAUAAAGGUAAGUGAAUCAAGGGAUUCAUGUCCCAGGUCGUGAAUCUAAAUGCAGAACCAGGCCCAGCAAAGCACAUACCCAGGUGCGGCCUCAGACCUAUCCUGACAGCCAGGUAAAUGUCCCUCACAUUGAUACAGUGACAGGAAGGGUGGGGGACACGGAGGGAAUGUGACCGAGGCGGGAAGAGCUGACCUCUGAGCAGCCAGGUGCCUCUCCUGCCAAGGAGGCCAGAGUGGGGUGGCAGCCAGGAACCCGGAGGACUGUCCACAGGACCACAGUCAGAGCGGGCCCAGCACAGCCUCAGCUGCCCAGGUCCAUGGAUUCCAGCCCUGAUCCUGGACCCUCCCACCGUGUGGUUUUAUGCAGGAGAGGGUGCCCUUUGAAGUCACUCUGUGACCUGUGACUUCCACUCCAACCUCCAAAAAAGCAAUAUCCUACCUGUCAAUGUUUCUCUUUGAAGGGGGA